Molecule: ribosomal RNA, 292 nt
Filed under: uncultured bacterium
Lineage: Bacteria
Description: partial 16S ribosomal RNA
Source: RNAcentral
GGACUACCCGGGUUUCUAAUCCUGUUUGCUCCCUAUGCUUUCGCACCUCAGCGUCAGUAUCCAGCCAGGAGUCCGCCUUCGCCACCGGUGUUCUUCCUAAUAUCAACAGAUUUCACCCCUACACUAGGAAUUCCGACUCCCCCUCCAAUACUCUAGCUUGACAGUUUCCAGCGCGUUUCCCGAGUUGAGCCCGGAGAUUUCACACCAGACUUGUCAGGCCGCCUGCGUGCCCUUUACGCCCAAUAAUUCCGAACAACGCUCGCCCCUUACGUGUUACCGCGGCUGCUGGCAC